Molecule: transfer RNA, 85 nt
Filed under: Acidobacteriota bacterium
Lineage: Bacteria; Pseudomonadati; Acidobacteriota
Description: Acidobacteria bacterium (anaerobic digester metagenome) tRNA-Leu
Rfam family: tRNA
About the family: Transfer RNA (tRNA) molecules are approximately 80 nucleotides in length. Their secondary structure includes four short double-helical elements and three loops (D, anti-codon, and T loops). Further hydrogen bonds mediate the characteristic L-shaped molecular structure. tRNAs have two regions of fundamental functional importance: the anti-codon, which is responsible for specific mRNA codon recognition, and the 3' end, to which the tRNAs corresponding amino acid is attached (by aminoacyl-tRNA synthetases). tRNAs cope with the degeneracy of the genetic code in two manners: having more than one tRNA (with a specific anti-codon) for a particular amino acid; and 'wobble' base-pairing, i.e. permitting non-standard base-pairing at the 3rd anti-codon position.
Source: RNAcentral
GCCGAAGUGGUGGAACUGGCAGACACGCCAUCUUGAGGGGGUGGUGAGGAAACUCGUGGGGGUUCGAGUCCCCCCUUCGGCACCA